GACGAACGCUGGCGGCGUGCCUAAUACAUGCAAGUAGAACGCUGAAGGAGGAGCUUGCUCUUCUGGAUGAGUUGCGAACGGGUGAGUAACGCGUAGGUAACCUGCCUGGUAGCGGGGGAUAACUAUUGGAAACGAUAGCUAAUACCGCAUAACAGUAGAUGUUGCAUGACAUUUACUUAAAAGGUGCAAUUGCAUCACUACCAGAUGGACCUGCGUUGUAUUAGCUAGUUGGUGGGGUAACGGAUCACCAAGGCGACGAUACAUAGACGACCUGAGAGGGUGAUCGGCCACACUGGGAAUGAGACACGGCCCAGACUCCUGCGGGAGGAAGCAGUAGGGCAGCAUCGGCAAUGGAAGGAAGUCUGACCGAGCAACGCCGCGUGAGUGAAGAACGGUGUCGGAUCGUAAAGCUCUGUUGUAAGAGAAGAACGAGUGUGAGAGUGGAAAGUUCACACUGUGCCGGUAUCUUACCAGAAAGGGACGGCUAACUACGUG
This 495-nucleotide ribosomal RNA is filed under the name uncultured bacterium. Its description in RNAcentral is "partial 16S ribosomal RNA". It matches the Rfam family "Bacterial small subunit ribosomal RNA", at positions 28 to 507 of the family's 1533-position model. The record is from RNAcentral.